Molecule: small nucleolar RNA, 86 nt
Organism: Cryptomeria japonica (Japanese cedar)
Lineage: Eukaryota; Viridiplantae; Streptophyta; Pinopsida; Cupressales; Cupressaceae
Product: small nucleolar RNA snoR27
Exons: 1
Source: RefSeq, a predicted model, not a curated record
UUCCAGUCAAUGAUGUAUCAUUUACUGCGUUAUCUAUCUGUAAAUCCAAAUGGUUUGAAGACGAUCUAAUAUUACUGAGACUUGGA